AGAAAUAUGUCUGACAAAAGAGUUACUUUGAUAGAGUAAAACAUAGAGGCCACAACCCUCUUAUUUCUA
Molecule: transfer RNA, 69 nt
Filed under: Diaemus youngi
Lineage: Eukaryota; Metazoa; Chordata; Mammalia; Chiroptera; Phyllostomidae
Description: tRNA-Ile
Source: RNAcentral